RNA transcript from Eucalyptus grandis, 2767 nucleotides. RefSeq lists it as uncharacterized. The transcript is spliced from 5 exons. The record is from RefSeq and is a predicted model, not a curated record. NCBI's taxonomy places the organism in Eukaryota, Viridiplantae, Streptophyta, Magnoliopsida, Myrtales, Myrtaceae.
GAGCCAUUAUCCACUACAGAUAUCUCUUUCGCCCUUUGGAACAACGUCGCGUCCUCACCGUUGUCUGUUCCAGACGGUAUGGUCCCUUCCGCACACUGCGACGUCCAUCACCGGCCGCGCAGGCUCAGAUUCCCCAACCGCCCCGCCACCGUACGAUCCCCCGAGAGGACGACGGCAGCGACUCCGACUCCGACUCCAACGCCCAAAAGAGCCUCAACCUGAUGUAGCGCGAGGCUCGGCGGCGACGUCCCCUGGGGGCAUGGAGUUCGCUUCCUUCUCCCAUCCCCAAAUCAAGCGCAUCCUCAGAUACUGCUGGGAAAAAGAGAUGUGUCUUGGAGGCGGCGCGAUUUUGAGCUUUCAUGGGCUUCGUGGAUAUAAUGAUGUCCAAUAAGAUUCAUUAUCGCUUCUCUGGAGCAAGCGGCGUUGGACGCUCGGAUGCUUGCGAAGAGACUGGGACUGGAUGUUCGAGAAGGAAAAUAUUACGUUUCAUUCAUGUUUUUGUGAGUGUGUGUACGUGUGUGUUUGUGAGAAUCUUUUCGCCUUCCUCCGGUUCACCUGCUAUCUGCUUUGCUAUGCUUGGCUAUUGCACGAUGAGUUCUUUCCGGGCAAAAUGGUUCUUCGAAUAAGCAGCUCUUUCCUAACUGCAGCUUUUUCCCCACUUAUAUUGAGUUUGAGUGUGUCAGCUUGUACUUUCAAAUUGCUUUGAUGGUGCUUGCAGCAUAGUUUGUCGAGCAUAUAUCAAUAAAGAUGAGUAACUUUUGAUGUUGUGCUCGGGAGAGGAGUACAAGAAUGCACAAGUCGUGCGAAAUAUUUGAAUUUUUUGCUUGCUGAACACUUUUUUUUCAUUUCCAGAUGGAACAUAAGUGUCUUUGUUUUUUUUUUUUUGGUCUCUUUUUGCUAAAGCAGUUUAAUUUAGUUGUAUUCUACGUAAUAUGUGCGAGAGGUGUCAAUGAUUCGUUGUGCAGUGUAACUUCCUUAAUGAAUCACAUUUGUUAGGGAAGUCGCUGCGAGAAGUUGAACCUGAGUUAAUGGAUGCUUCAAUUGAGGCCACAAAAGAUGGUGAUGAGAGCAGGCUGCGAGCUUUAUCUGUAUUAGAGGCCUGGGUUGGCGAAGAUAAUGACAAAGGAGGAGAAGAUUUCGAACAUGAUCACGGGGAAGAGGGGGUGCCUGGUUUCUAUUUGUUGCUGAAAAAAAACGAAGAGAAAAAUCUGCAUUGCCUACCGCUGCUACUCAAAGUUUCAUUUGCAUCCUCUUAGAGGAAAAGGAGUUCAGCUUGUACGGGCUGCGUGAGGAGUCCACUUCCCUAUCAUUGGAAACAGACUUUGCUGGGUUCACAUGGUAAUGGUGACAUUGUACUUCCAAUAGGAGCUGCGAAAGCUUAUGAGGAGUGUACAGUCUAUUCAAGAACACCCAGUCGUUGCUAAUGAAAACGAGAGAGGUUUGUUUCUUUGUUGAUUGGCUGUGAUUAAUUCCUUGACAAGCCGUACGGUGGACGUCUAAAAGCCGCACGAGAAAAGGAAAAAGAAAAAGGGGCACUCAUAAAUCCUGCUGGGUGGAGUACCUGUCUUUGGCCGCGCAGAAUUCCUUCAAGCCGUGUAGUCAACUCCAGAGAAAAAGACGAACGGCGAUGUAAGAAAGGGGUAGUGGAAAAAAAAAGUAAGAAAGGGGUCGCACGGUGACACUCUUUUUUUCGAUCGCACGGAGGAGUGUUGACCAUGGUGAAUUUUGUGCUGUGAAUUUCCGUCCAAUUGAGUUAUUUUAUUAAUAAACACCAUGUAAUGUAGUCUUAGUAAAUAAAGAUGCCAUCUAAUGGGCAUCAAAUGCCAUUUCCCUUAUGAAGGCUUGUUUUUAAUGUCUUCUCCUUUUGUAUCUUUGUGUAAUGGUGUAUGAGUUGAAUUGAAAAGAUGAAUAAUGAAUUUUGUCAAGCACAUAGCUUAGGAAAAAAAAAAGCCAAAGAAAAAGGAAAAUGAAGCAAGAGCCAUUAUCCACUACAGAUAUCUCUUUCGCCCUUUGGAACAACUUUGCCUCACCGUUGUCUGUUCCUGACGGUGUGGUCCCUUCGGCACACCGCGACGUCCAUCACCGCCCGCGAGGGCUCUGAUUCCGCAACCGCCCGCCACCGUACGAUCCCUCGAGAAGAUGACGGCAGCGACCCCGAAUCCGACGCCCAGAAGAGCCUAAACCAGAGGAAGCGCGAGGCUCGGCCGCGAUGUCCCCUGGGGCAUGGAGUUCGCUUCCUUUCCCAUUCCCAAAUCAAGAGCAUCCUCAGAUACUACUGGGAAAAAAAGAUGUGUCUUGGAGGCGGCGCGAUUUUUAGCUUUCACGGCCUUUGUGGAUAUAAUGAUGUUCAAUAACGUUGCACUGUACAUUCAUUAUCCUUUCUUUUAAAAGGGGAAUUGCAGAGUGGCUUCUCUGGAGUCAAGCGGCGUUGGACGCUCAGAUGCUCGCGAAGAGACCAGGACCGGAUGUCCGAGAACAAAAGCGAAGGCAUUUCAAUUUCAUUGGUACUAUCACGUUUCAUUCAUGUUUUUGUGAGUGCCUACGUGAGAAUAUUUUCCCCUUUCUUGCCGCUUCACCUGGCAUCUUCUUUACUAUGCUUGGCCAUUGCACGAUGAGUUCUUGCCCAAAAGAAUAGUUCUUAAGAUAAGAAGCUCUUUUAUAACUGCCCCUUUCCCCUCCUUUAGAUUGUGUUUGAGUGUGUCAACUUGUAAUUUUGAAAUGCUUGGAUGGUAAUUGCAGUAUAGUUCCUUGAGCAUACGUUGAUGAA